This 430-nucleotide ribosomal RNA is filed under the name uncultured bacterium. Its description in RNAcentral is "bacterial SSU rRNA". It matches the Rfam family "Bacterial small subunit ribosomal RNA", at positions 355 to 799 of the family's 1533-position model. The record is from RNAcentral.
UGGGGAAUAUUGCGCAAUGGGCGAAAGCCUGACGCAGCAACGCCGCGUGAGUGAUGAAGGCCUUCGGGUUGUAAAGCCCUGUCGGGAGGGACGAAGUUCUGACGGUACCUCCCAAGAAAGCACCGGCUAACUCCGUGCCAGCAGCCGCGGUAAUACGGAGGGUGCGAGCGUUGCUCGGAAUCAUUGGGCGUAAAGCGUACGCAGGCGGUCUGGUUAAGUCGGGUGUGAAAGCCCGGGGCUCAACCCCGGAAAUGCGCCCGAAACUGGCAGGCUUGAGUGCGGGAGAGGGAAGCGGAAUUCCUGGUGUAGAGGUGAAAUUCGUAGAUAUCAGGAGGAACACCGGUGGCGAAAGCGGCUUCCUGGCCCGACACUGACGCUCAUGUACGAAAGCGUGGGGAGCAAACAGGAUUAGAUACCCACGUAGUCCCUG